Molecule: ribosomal RNA, 464 nt
Filed under: uncultured bacterium
Lineage: Bacteria
Description: partial 16S ribosomal RNA
Rfam family: Bacterial small subunit ribosomal RNA
Source: RNAcentral
GACGAACGCUGGCGGCGUGCUUAACACAUGCAAGUCGAACGGAAAGGCCCAGCUUGCUGGGUGCUCGAGUGGCGAACGGGUGAGUAACACGUGGGUGAUCUGCCCCUAACUUCGGGAUAAGCUUGGGAAACUGGGUCUAAUACCGGAUAGGACAAUCGUUUAGUGUCGGUUGUGGAAAGUUUUUUCGGUUAGGGAUGAGCCCGCGGCCUAUCAGCUUGUUGGUGGGGUAAUGACCUACCAAGGCGUCGACGGGUAGCCGGCCUGAGAGGGUGGACGGCCACAUUGGGACUGAGAUACGGCCCAGACUCCUACGGGAGGCAGCAGUGGGGAAUAUUGCACAAUGGGCGCAAGCCUGAUGCAGCGACGCCGCGUGGGGGAUGACGGCCUUCGGGUUGUAAACCUCUUUCGACAGGGACGAAGCUUUGGUGACGGUACCUGUAUAAGAAGCACCGGCUAACUACGUG